This is a long non-coding RNA of Dreissena polymorpha, 3263 nucleotides long. RefSeq lists it as uncharacterized. The transcript is spliced from 3 exons. NCBI's taxonomy places the organism in Eukaryota, Metazoa, Mollusca, Bivalvia, Myida, Dreissenidae. The record is from RefSeq and is a predicted model, not a curated record.
UAAUUGUUAACAUUUGAGCAUAUACUUUGUUAAACAGGGCUUUAUGCAUGUGCGUUAUGUGGCAUCCAAGAUUAGCCUGUGCAGUCCGGACAAUACUUUCCGCUUUGAUGGAAGUAUUCGUUUAAAUGAAAAUUUUGCUAAACAAAAUCUAGUCCAAGCGGAAAGUGUCCUCCUUAAUUAGUCUUUGUGAAAUGCACAGGUCAAUCUGGAACAUUGUCCUUUAUUAGUCUUUGUGGAAUGCUCAGGUCAAUCUGGAACAUUGUCCUUUAUUAGUCUUUGUGGAAUGCACAGGUCAAUCUGGAACAUUGUCCUUUAUUAGUCUUUGUGGAAUGCACAGGUCAAUCUGGAACAUUGUCCUUUAUUAGUCUUUGUGGAAUGCACAGGUCAAUCUGGAACAUUGUCCUUUAUUAGUCUUUGUGGAAUGCACAGGUCAAUCUGGAACAUUGUCCUUUAUUAGUCUUUGUGGAAUGCACAGGUCAAUCUGGAACAUUGUCCUUUAUUAGUCUUUGUGGAAUGCACAGGUCAAUCUGGAACAUUGUCCUUUAUUAGUCUUUGUGGAAUGCACAGGUCAAUCUGGAACAUUGUCCUUUAUUAGUCUUUGUGGAAUGCACAGGUCAAUCUGGAACAUUGUCCUUUAUUAGCCUUUGCAAACUGCACAGGCUAGUGUGGGGCGACACUAUGCAAAUGCAUUAAUUCCUGUUUUUUCCAGGGCGUGGCUCAUGUUUCAGGUUUGAUAGACAGCCCCAAUUCUGAUAUUGUACCUUAAGAUAAUGGAAGGCUUCAUGCCAGUCAUUGUAAAGUUUGACAGAUUUUUCAAAGCUGAGCAUUUUAAAUGGCAGGGUUCAUGGUUCAUGAGUAUGAUAUUUCAUUUAAAAUUGCAUAGCUUUUUAGUCCCCUACUGGUUUUGUAUCCAUCCGUCAGUCUGUCACACUUUUCUGGAUCCUGCGAUAACUCUAAAAGUUCUUAAUAUUUUUUCAUGAAACUUGGAAUAUGGAUAGAUGGCAAUAUGGGCAUUAUGCACGUCAUUUUGUUCCUACGUCAAAAAGUGUGGUUGCUAUGGCAACAAAUAGACUAGAAAUACUGCUGAAAAUGGUGUUUUUUUCUAGAUCCUGCGAUAACUCUAAUAGUUCUUAAUAUUUUUUCAUGAAACUUGGAAUAUGGAUAGAUGGCAAUAUGGAAAUUAUGCAUGUCAUUUCAUUUUGUUCCUACGUCAAAAAUUGUGGUUGCUAUGGCAACAAAUAGACUAGAAAUACUGCUGAAAAUGGUGUUUUUUUCUGGAUCCUGCGAUAACUCUAAAAGUUCUAAAUAUUUUUUCAUGUAACUUGGAAUAUGUAUAGAUGGCAAUACGGACAUUAUGCACGUCAUUUCAUUUUGUUCCUACGUCAAAAAUUGUGGUUGCUAUGGCAACAAAUAUACUAGAAAUACUGCUGAAAAUGGUGUUUUUUCUGGAUCCUGCGAUAACUUUAAAAGUUCUGAAUAUUUUUCCCGAAACUUGAAACAUGGAUAGAUGGCAAUAUGGACAUUAUGCACGUCAUUUCAUUUUGUUCCUACGUCAAAAUUUCUGGUUGCUAUGGCAACAAAUAGACUAGAAAUACUGCUGAAAAUGGUGUUUUUUCUGGAUCCUGUGAUAACUUUAAAAGUUCUUAAUAUUUUUUCAUGACACUUGAAACAUGGAUAGAUGGCAAUAUGGACAUUAUGCACGUCAUUUCAUUUUGUUCCUACGUCAAAAAUUAUGGUUGCUAUGGCAACAAAUAGACUACAAAUAAUGCUGAAAAUGGUGGUUUUCUGGAUCCUGCGAUAACUUUAAAAGUUCUUAAUAUUUUUUCAUAAAACUUGGAACAUGGAUAGAUGGAAUUAUGGACAAUAUGCACGUCAUUUCAUUUUGUUCCUACGUCUAAAAUUAUGGUUGCUAUGGCAACAAAUAGACUAGAAAUACUGCUGAAAAUGGUGUUUUUCUCUAUCCUGCGAUAACUUUAAAAGUUCUUAAUAUUUUUUCAUAAAACUUGGAACAUGGAUAGAUGGAAUUAUGGACAUUAUGCACGUCAUUUCAUUUUGUUCCUACGUCUAAAAUUAUGGUUGCUAUGGCAACAAAUAAUAAAAAAUCUGACAAUGGUGGAAUUUCUGACAAUGGUGGAGCCGGUAGGGGACUUUUAUUGCUUGGCAAUAGUCUUGUUCAUAAUGUUUGUUUAUCUGACCAUUUCUUAUUUGGAUUGAUGCAGGGACUUGGUUGUUAUACAAUAUUAUUAUUAAGGAUGCACCAGAUUACAAAAAAACAAUUACAACCCAAAACAUCUCUAAGUAUACUACAUAUCAGUAUCUUUAUUAAAAUGUUUUAUUCAAUAAAUUGUAAUAUAAUUGUAUAUGUGUGUUAUAUAUUUUAUUAACCCUGUGUAAAAGUAUGGGGAUAAGAAGUUUUGAGAACAAAUAAACAAAGAAACUACGUACAUUUUCACGUAUCUUUUUGUGUGUGUGUGGGGGGGGGGGGCCUCCUUAUGUUUGCGUUUGCAUCUUAUUGCUCAUAACAAUGUUGUGUUUCUUUGUUGAUUCGGUUUUAAUUUUUUUAAAGUUUGAAAUUCACAUGAUCUAUGAAUAAAUGAAAAUGAAAUAUUUUAAAUGAUCAGUAUGUUCAUUUAAAAGUGAUGUUAGUAAGUGUUAUUAUCUCAAAUACUGCUAGUUUGUAUGUCCCCCAGUCUAUACCGGGGAACAUAUUGUUUUUGCCCUGUAUGUUUGUUGGUUUGUUUGCAUCAAACUUUAGCACUGGCCAUAACUUGUUGAAUAUUGAAGAAAGAAACUUGAUAUUUGGCAUGCAUGUGUAUUUCAUGGAGCUGCACAUUUUGAGUGGUGAAAGGUCAAGGUCAUCCUUCAAGGUCAAAGGUCAAAUAUAUGGGUUGGACAUAGUGUUUCACACACACAUCUUGUUUAAAUAAGUGUUUGAUUGCUGUUUUUAAUCAAAUGAGAUAAAUAAUUUGCUUCCUUAAUUCAAACUUUCCUUGGACAGUUUUGGUGGCAUCGUUGAUGACGGAAAUUAGUCAAAUUACUAAUUAUAUUAUUAACCAGGUUUUCCGAAGGAAAAAACUGGUUAUUAGAUUGGCGAAGGCGGGCGGGCUGGCUGGCGGGCGGGCGGAACAAGCUUGUCCGGGCCAUAAUUAUGUCGUUCAUUGUCAGAUUUUAAAAUCAUUUGGCACAUUUGUUCACCAUCAUUGGACGGUGUGUCGCGCGAAAUAAUUACGUCGAUAUCUCCAAGGUCAAGGUCACACUUUGAG